RNAcentral lists this ribosomal RNA (404 nucleotides) under uncultured bacterium. Its description in RNAcentral is "bacterial SSU rRNA". It matches the Rfam family "Bacterial small subunit ribosomal RNA", at positions 90 to 498 of the family's 1533-position model. The record is from RNAcentral.
GGCGACCGGCAAACGGGUGCGGAACACGUACAGAACCUUCCUUCGAGCGGGGAAUAGCCCAGAGAAAUUUGGAUUAAUACCCCAUAGUAUAUUGGAGUGGCAUCACUUUGAUAUUAAAGAUUUAUCACUUGAAGAUGGCUGUGCGGCUGAUUAGGUAGUUGGCGGGGUAACGGCCCACCAAGCCUGCGAUCAGUAACUGGUGUGAGAGCACGACCAGUCACACGGGCACUGAGACACGGGCCCGACUCCUACGGGAGGCAGCAGUAAGGAAUAUUGGUCAAUGGACGAAAGUCUGAACCAGCCAUGCCGCGUGGAGGAUGAAGGUCCUCUGGAUUGUAAACUUCUUUUAUAUGGGACGAAAAAAGGGUUUUCUAACUCGUCUGCGGUCCAUAGAAAACCCGGCU